GGGAUAGAGGGGUCACCUCUGACAGGCGGAGCCAUAAGGGCGGAAAACCAGAGAGAUACACAGAGCUGGGCAGAGCUGGGCAGGCACACAGGACUUGGAGAUAACACUUUUUGUCCUCUUGCAGCUUUUUAAAAAAUCCUCUAAGGAGGCUCUCGUCGUCCGCUUCGAUGCCGAAGGCCACGAAGGGCCCCGUGGCGAUGUCCCCCCAGUACCCGCGCGCUGCCACGCGCUCCCCACGCUGGAAAAGGAGGGAGAGAGGAGGCAGGUAAUCUAGAGAUGAUUUGCGGUGUAUGGGACCAUGUGUACAGGCUAUUUAUGCCUGCAUCCCCUUCGCCUCCUGUCAUGAUUGUAAGUUUCCUGAGGCCUUCCCAGCCAUACUCCCUGUACAGCCUGUGGAACUGUGAGUCAAUUAAACCUCUUUUCUUGGGGCCGGGUGUGAUCGCACCCGCCUGUAAACCUAGCACUUUGGCAGGCCAAGGCGGGCGGAUCACCUGAGGUCAGCAUCUCGAGACCAUCC
This 517-nucleotide long non-coding RNA is filed under the name Homo sapiens (human). Its description in RNAcentral is "HSALNT0398752". The record is from RNAcentral. Lineage: Eukaryota; Metazoa; Chordata; Mammalia; Primates; Hominidae.